GACGAACGCUGGCGGCGUGCUUAACACAUGCAAGUCGAACGGAAAGGCCCUGCUUUUGUGGGGUGCUCGAGUGGCGAACGGGUGAGUAACACGUGAGUAACCUGCCCUUGACUUUGGGAUAACUUCAGGAAACUGGGCCUAUUACCGUUUGGAGGCUCCGCUUGCUGGUUGGGGGUGGGAAGGUUUCGAGGGUUGGGAUUGGAUCGCCGGCUUAUCAGUUGUUGGGUGGGGUGGUGCCUUCCCAGGGCUUGGACGGGAUGCGAGCCAUAGCGGGUGCCCGCCCACACUGGGACGCAGAGACGGCCCAGACUCCUACGGGAGGCAGACGUGGGAAAUAUUGCACAAAGGGCGGAAGCCUGAUGAAGCAACGCCGCGUGCGGGAUGACGGCCUUCGGGUUGUAAACCGCUUUCUCCUGUAACGAAGCGUGAGUGACGGUAAUGGGUAAAGAAGCAACGGCUAACUACGUG
RNAcentral lists this ribosomal RNA (468 nucleotides) under uncultured bacterium. Its description in RNAcentral is "partial 16S ribosomal RNA". It matches the Rfam family "Bacterial small subunit ribosomal RNA", at positions 28 to 507 of the family's 1533-position model. The record is from RNAcentral.